CAAUAGCGUAUAUUAAAGUUGUUGCAGUUAAAAAGCUCGUAGUUGGAUUUCUGGUGGGAGCGAUCGGUCUGGCGCUUAGCGCGAGUACUUGCAUCGUCUCCGGCCAUCCUUGGGGAGAGUCUGUCUGGCAUUAGGUUGUCGGGCAGAGGAUCCUCAUCGUUUACUGUGAAAAAAUUAGAGUGUUCAAAGCAGGCUUAUGCCGUUGAAUAGAUUAGCAUGGAAUAAUAAGAUAGGACUUUGGUACUAUUUUGUUGGUUUGCGCACCAAAGUAAUGAUUAAUAGGGACAGUUGGGGGUAUUCGUAUUCCGUUGUCAGAGGUGAAAUUCUUGGAUUUACGGAAGACGAACUACUGCGAAAGCAUUUACCAAGGAUGUUUUCAUUAA
This 383-nucleotide ribosomal RNA is filed under the name uncultured eukaryote. Its description in RNAcentral is "partial 18S ribosomal RNA". It matches the Rfam family "Eukaryotic small subunit ribosomal RNA", at positions 592 to 976 of the family's 1831-position model. The record is from RNAcentral.